AUCACCUCUCAAGCCUGGCUUGCUGUUGGACCUUAGUUAAGCUCUUAGCUUCAACUGGUCCCAAAGAUAAUGAGGCGUCUGUGAGGACCCCAGUACACUGAGCUUUUCAAGCACGUAUUAGGUGGGAGUCCAGACCCGGUCUUACUUAUUUUAUUACUAAGGUUGACCUCGGAUCAGGUAGGAAUACCCGCUGAACUUAA
This 200-nucleotide unclassified non-coding RNA is filed under the name soil metagenome. RNAcentral's name for it is "partial contains internal transcribed spacer 2 and large subunit ribosomal RNA". The record is from RNAcentral.